UUAAAAAGCUCGUAGUUGAAUUUCGGGGUUAGUAGGUUGGUCAUGCCUCUGGUAUGUACUGGUCUCACUGAUUCCUCCUUCCUGAUGAACCGUAAUGCCAUUAAUUUGGUGUUGCGGGGAAUUUGGACUGUUACUUUGAAAAAAUUAGAGUGCUUAAAGCAAGCUAACGCUUGAAUACAUUAGCAUGGAAUAAUGAAAUAGGACGUUCGAUCCUAUUUUGUUGGUUUCUAGGAUUGACGUAAUGAUUAAUAGGGAUAGUUGGGGG
RNAcentral lists this ribosomal RNA (265 nucleotides) under uncultured Glomus. RNAcentral describes it as "partial 18S ribosomal RNA". It matches the Rfam family "Eukaryotic small subunit ribosomal RNA", at positions 619 to 888 of the family's 1831-position model. Lineage: Eukaryota; Fungi; Glomeromycota; Glomeromycetes; Glomerales; Glomeraceae. The record is from RNAcentral.